This 344-nucleotide ribosomal RNA is filed under the name Babesia vogeli. RNAcentral describes it as "SSU rRNA". It matches the Rfam family "Eukaryotic small subunit ribosomal RNA", at positions 442 to 840 of the family's 1831-position model. Lineage: Eukaryota; Apicomplexa; Aconoidasida; Piroplasmida; Babesiidae. The record is from RNAcentral.
UACCCAAUCCUGACACAGGGAGGUAGUGACAAGAAAUAACAAUACAGGGCUAAUGUCUUGUAAUUGGAAUGAUGGUGACCCAAACCCUCACCAGAGUAGCAAUUGGAGGGCAAGUCUGGUGCCAGCAGCCGCGGUAAUUCCAGCUCCAAUAGCGUAUAUUAAACUUGUUGCAGUUAAAAAGCUCGUAGUUGAAUUUUAGCGUGUUCGAGUUUGCCAUUCGUUUGGCUUUUUCGAGUUCGCUUUUGGGUUUUCCCUUUUUACUUUGAGAAAAUUAGAGUGUUUCAAGCAGACUUUUGUCUUGAAUACUUCAGCAUGGAAUAAUAGAGUAGGACUUUGGUUCUAUU